This 404-nucleotide ribosomal RNA is filed under the name Pyrhila carinata. RNAcentral's name for it is "partial 16S large subunit ribosomal RNA". It matches the Rfam family "Bacterial large subunit ribosomal RNA", at positions 1918 to 2597 of the family's 2925-position model. The record is from RNAcentral. Lineage: Eukaryota; Metazoa; Arthropoda; Malacostraca; Decapoda; Leucosiidae.
AUAAAUUAAAGAGCUGCGGUAUAUUGACUGUACAAAGGUAGCAUAAUCAUUAGUUUUUUAAAUGAAAACUUGUAUGAAAGGUUUGACAAAACAAGUUCUGUCUCUAUUUUUUAAUUAAAAUUUAACUUUUAAGUGAAAAGGCUUAAAUAAAUCAAAGGGACGAUAAGACCCUAGAAGCAAUUGGUUGGGGCGACAUAUAAAUAAUUUAUAACUUUAUAUAUUUAAAACAUUUAUAUAUGAAUUGAUCUUUAAUAAAAAUUUUAAGCUAAGUUACUUUAGGGAUAACAGCGUUAUUUUUUCUGAUAGUUCAUAUCGAAGAAAAAGAUUGCGACCUCGAUGUUGAAUUAAAAAUUCUGUUUGGUGCAUCAGCUGAACAAGAAGGUCUGUUCGACCUUUAAAUUUUU